Molecule: ribosomal RNA, 497 nt
Filed under: uncultured bacterium
Lineage: Bacteria
Description: partial 16S ribosomal RNA
Rfam family: Bacterial small subunit ribosomal RNA
Source: RNAcentral
GACGAACGCUGGCGGCGUGCCUAAUACAUGCAAGUUGAGCGCUGAAGGUUGGUACUUGUACCAACUGGAUGAGCAGCGAACGGGUGAGUAACGCGUGGGUAAUCUGCCUUUGAGCGGGGGACAACAUUUGGAAACGAAUGCUAAUACCGCAUAAAAACUUUAAACACAAGUUUUAAGUUUGAAAGAUGCAAUUGCAUCACUCAAAGAUGAUCCCGCGUUGUAUUAGCUAGUUGGUGAGGUAAAGGCUCACCAAGGCGAUGAUACAUAGCCGACCUGAGAGGGUGAUCGGCCACAAUGGGACUGGGACACGGCCCAAACUCCUACGGGAGGGAGCAGUAGGGAAUCUUCGGCAAUGGACGAAAGUCUGACCGAGGAACGCCGCGGGAGUGAAGAAGGUUUUCGGAUCGUAAAACUCUGUUGGUAGGGAAGAACGAUGGUGGGAGUGGAAAGCGCAUCAAGUGACGGUAACUAACCAGAAAGGGACGGCUAACUACGUG